GGAGAUAUAAACCUUGCAAAGCCAUAGAACGUCUACGUUAGCAGAGAGCCAGGCAAGGAGCUUAACAUGCGCCAAAUCUGAGACGCAGACGCGACUAAAAAACAGUCGCUAAUAAUGGGAGACUAGUUUUAUUUUAUUUUUCUCGUGUCCCUAGCUUUGUUUACCAACAACAAUCCAUAGUUUUACCCGUGAAGUGAAAUUGUGAUAAUAGCGGCAGUUUUUCGUCACGUCCGCGUCGUAUAGAUUUGGUGGUUUUAAUGAUAAUACUAGGGACCUGGC
This is a non-coding RNA of Paramuricea clavata, 279 nucleotides long. Lineage: Eukaryota; Metazoa; Cnidaria; Anthozoa; Malacalcyonacea; Plexauridae. The record is from the annotation of a GenBank genome assembly.